RNAcentral lists this ribosomal RNA (486 nucleotides) under uncultured bacterium. RNAcentral's name for it is "partial 16S ribosomal RNA". It matches the Rfam family "Bacterial small subunit ribosomal RNA", at positions 30 to 507 of the family's 1533-position model. The record is from RNAcentral.
AUUGAACGCUGGCGGCAUGCCUUACACAUGCAAGUCGAACGGCAGCACGGGUGCUUGCCCCUGGUGGCGAGUGGCGAACGGGUGAGUAAUACAUCGGAACAUGUCCUGUAGUGGGGGAUAGCCCGGCGAAAGCCGGAUUAAUACCGCAUACGAUCUACGGAUGAAAGCGGGGGACCUUCGGGCCUCGCGCUUUGGGGUUGGCCGAUGGCUGAUUAGCUAGUUGGUGGGGUAUAGGCCUACCAAGGCGACGAUCAGUAGCUGGUCUGAGAGGACGACCAGCCACACUGGGACUGAGACACGGCCCAGACUCCUACGGGAGGCAGCAGUGGGGAAUUUUGGACAAUGGGCGAAAGCCUGAUCCAGCAAUGCCGCGUGUGUGAAGAAGGCCUUCGGGUUGUAAAGCACUUUUGUCCGGAAAGAAAUCCUUGGCCCUAAUACGGUCGGGGGAUGACGGUACCGGAAGAAUAAGCACCGGCUAACUACGUG